AACGAACGCUGGCGGCAGGCCUAACACAUGCAAGUCGAACGUGAAGCUGGAGCUUGCUCCAGUGGAAAGUGGCAGACGGGUGAGUAACGCGUGGGAACCUUCCCAGUGGUACGGAAUAACUCAGGGAAACUUGAGCUAAUACCGUAUAAGCCCUUAGGGGGAAAGAUUUAUCGCCAUUGGAUGGGCCCGCGUCGGAUUAGCUUGUUGGUAGGUAACGGCCUACCAAGGCUACGAUCCGUAGCUGGUCUGAGAGGAUGAUCAGCCACACUGGGACUGAGACACGGCCCAGACUCCUGCGGGAGGCAGCAGUGGGGAAUAUUGGACAAUGGGCGAAAGCCUGAUCCAGCCAUGCCGCGUGAGUGACGAAGGCCCUAGGGUUGUAAAGCUCUUUUGGCGGGGACGAUAAUGACGGUACCCGCAGAAUAAGCCCCGGCUAACUUCGUG
RNAcentral lists this ribosomal RNA (444 nucleotides) under uncultured bacterium. RNAcentral's name for it is "bacterial SSU rRNA". It matches the Rfam family "Bacterial small subunit ribosomal RNA", at positions 29 to 507 of the family's 1533-position model. The record is from RNAcentral.